RNAcentral lists this ribosomal RNA (774 nucleotides) under uncultured Neocallimastigales. Its description in RNAcentral is "partial large subunit ribosomal RNA". It matches the Rfam family "Eukaryotic large subunit ribosomal RNA", at positions 26 to 644 of the family's 3401-position model. Lineage: Eukaryota; Fungi; Neocallimastigomycota; Neocallimastigomycetes; Neocallimastigales. The record is from RNAcentral.
CGCAUCUGUGCAUGCAGCAUAUCAAUAAGCGGAGGAAAAGAAACUAACAAGGAUUCCCUUAGUAACGGCGAGUGAAGCGGGAAGAGCUCAAAUUUGAAAUCUUCAAGGUUUUACCUUGACGAAUUGUAGUUUAAAGAAGUGUUUUCUGCUGAAGUUUUGGUAAAAGUUCUUUGGAAUAGGACAUCAUAGAGGGUGAGAAUCCCGUAUUUGACCAUUAUUUUCAGCUUUGUGAUACACUUUCAAAGAGUCGGAUUGUUUGGGAAUGCAGUCCAAAAUGGGUGGUAAAUUUCAUCUAGAGCUAAAUAUUGGCGAGAGACCGAUAGCGAACAAGUACCGUGAGGGAAAGAUGAAAAGAACUUUGAAAAGAGAGUUAAACAGUACGUGAAAUUGUCAAAAGGGAAGCGUUUGACACCAGUGUUGUUUUUCUGAAAAUCAAUUAAAGAACUGUUUAUGCUAAGCUGUUUAGACUUUAUCAGCUAACUGUUUAGUUUUGAGCUUUUCUUUAAUGCACUUUUCAGUUAACAAGUCAACAUCAAUUUCUUUUGCUGUAAAAAAGCUUGAGGAAGGUGGCUUGAGAUUCGUCUUAAGUGUUUAUAGCCCUAUACUUCUACAAUCGGAGAGAUUGAGGUCUGCAGCGUAGAUCCUUCGGGGUUAGAUACAUUUGUGCUAAGUUGUAGCUUUUCAUAGACAACUUGUUGACUAUGUUUAGUCAUGCGGCUUACUCGCUUAUGCUAUUUUACCUACGCUUAGGAUGUUGAAGAUAUGCGCGACACG